RNAcentral lists this ribosomal RNA (687 nucleotides) under uncultured marine alpha proteobacterium. RNAcentral's name for it is "bacterial SSU rRNA". It matches the Rfam family "Bacterial small subunit ribosomal RNA", at positions 837 to 1532 of the family's 1533-position model. Lineage: Bacteria; Pseudomonadati; Pseudomonadota; Alphaproteobacteria. The record is from RNAcentral.
UUUUCAGUGUCGCAGCGAAAGCGAUAAACACACCGCCUGGGGAGUACGACCGCAAGGUUAAAACUCAAAUGAAUUGACGGGGACCCGCACAAGUAGUGGAGCAUGUGGUUUAAUUCGAAGAUACGCGCAGAACCUUACCAACACUUGACAUGUUCGUCGCGACUCUAAGAGAUUAGAGUUUUCGGUUCGGCCGGACGAAACACAGGUGCUGCAUGGCUGUCGUCAGCUCGUGUCGUGAGAUGUUGGGUUAAGUCCCGCAACGAGCGCAACCCUCACUUUUAGUUGCCAUCAUUAAGUUGGGCACUCUGAAAGAACUGCCAGUGAUAAGCUGGAGGAAGGUGGGGAUGACGUCAAGUCCUCAUGGCCCUUACGUGUUGGGCUACACACGUGCUACAAUGGUAUCUACAACAGGAAGCGAGGCUGCGAGGUCAAGCAAAUCCUUAAAAGAUACCUCAGUUCGGAUUGCACUCUGCAACUCGAGUGCAUGAAGCUGGAAUUACUAGUAAUCGUGGAUCAGCGUGCCACGGUGAAUGCGUUCCCGGGUCUUGUACACACCGCCCGUCACACCAUGGGAGUUGGUUCUACCUUAAGGCAAGGUUUUAAACCCUUGACCACGGUAUAGUCAGCGACUGGGGUGAAGUCGUAACAAGGUAGCCGUAGGGGAACCUGCGGCUGGAUUACCUCCUU